CUCCCUCCCGCACUCGCGCCUCCCCCGCGGCCAUCUCCUCCCGCCUCGCCUCUCUCUCUCCCUCUCCCUCUCUCUCUCCUUGCGCUCCCUGCCGCGCCGCCGCCUCCGCUCACCUCGCCAUCGCUGGCACCUACCCGAGGCGUGGGUUCGCAGUCCUGCCCCCUCCCUUCCUCCUCUCCCGGUUCGUUCUCCCUCCCGUCCCAAGCCAGCCGCCGCCCCCACCCUAUUGCCGAUCUCCUCUCCCCCAACCUCGGUGCCGCCUCCUCCCUCUCUCCCAUAGGCGCCCGCCGCUGCCGUUUCACCUUCUCGAGAAGGUCAGGUGGAGGCCAGAUCCGCCAUGCCCACAGCGUUGCUUCCGCUGACACGCUCCUGUGCCGUUCCCAAGCCCGAUACAAAGGAGAUGCACGACCAUCCCCUCCCCGUGCGGUGGUGGACGCAGGAGGUGCACGUCUCCGUCGAGGUCGUCGCGAUUGGGUGAGAACCCUAGCUGAUGCUCUGACCCUCACAACCCUCGCUUCGCCCCCUCCUUUCUCUUUCGCCUCUGGAUCCGGCCGCCGCCACUGUCUCUCUGCCUUGCCCCGCCGUCCUGUUCCUGGUGAGACGAGGUCCUUCCUUUCUAUUGCUCACAUCAGUCAUCCAGUUCUAGGCAGUGGAUGAAUCACUGAGAUUGGGAGCAGAGGCAAGGAUGUUGCCUCGCCCCUGCUUCUGACCUGGACUGGAUCUCGUUGGUUCUUGCUCAACCUGCCAAAGGUCUGUAUGUUUAAGAAUGACUCCACUCAUGGCCCCUUUAAAGGAUCCAUUAAGAUCAUGGAUGAUUCAAUUCUAGAGAUUAAUGUGGAGAAAAUAACAAUCAAAUGCAAAAGAUGAGUAUGCAUCCUAAGGGGCAAAGAUGCAGUCCUCCAGAGCGGUUGGAAAGAAGAAGAAGAUGUGUUGUUUGAUGUGUUCGUGCUUGUCGGCGGGACGGUGCAAGGCGCAACUCCGAUGCGGUUCCUCGCCGGUUGGACGGCGUUCAGGCGCAACCCCGACAUGCACUGAGUAUUGCCUCAGCUACAGCCUCCCUCGGUGAGGUCCAUCUUCCUCCCGCUCCUCUGCUUCGGCUACUUUAUGGGACAUGUCCAUGGCUAUAUUGAUGUGGUGCUCGUCUGAUUGAUGCUCUAUGCCCUACUCAUGCAUCGGCUCCUGUAGUUGUGGAUCCAUGCCAUUUUAGGGUUUGCGGGAUGUUGUUCAUGUUUAGUUGCUAUCAUAGGAGCUAAUGUGAUGCUCUGGUUUACAUAUGGAUGCCCUGGUCCUAUAGCUAUUCUCCUGGAUUUGCUAGAUUGAUCAGUGGCGUUCGUGCUAGGGCGAUGAUGAUUAAUCGUGGCUGAAAUAAGUGUGCCUUUGAGCAAUCGUGGCACCUGUGCGUAUCAGGUUGGAUCCUCCCUCUUGUCUCUAGAAUCCUUUUUGAUCCUGUGAUACUUGUUGUUGUCCUUUGAUGGUCAUUCUUGUUGAGCGAUAACCAGGGCAGCUCCACUGUAUGAACAGAUUGAUCUGGUGAUAAGAGAUGAUGGGGGUAGGUUAUAUGAUCGAGGAAAGGUGAAUCUGAGCCCGCUAUGCAAUGAACCCUGAAUCGAGAAUCCCAUCCCAUCCCCUUGUUAGAGUCUGAAGAAAAAUGGAGCUUCUGGACCGUUCGAUCGGUUUCCUGAUGCGAUUCCGGCCGUCGGAUCUCGGGCUUGACUCACGUGAGGCGUCGGAUAUUUUCCAAAUCGCUGUGAGCCGUCGGAUAAAAUUCCAAUGGCAAUAGAAUGUAAAUACCGUGCCCCCACCAGGGCAUCUGGGUCAUUUCGCUUAGGGGCGCAGGGGUAUAAAAUGACUGCGGCUUCCUGCGAUGAAAACCUAGCUGCCGCCUCCUCUCUCUCACUCGCCCCUGUAGCUGCCUCCCUCCCUCCCACGCAGGUGGUUCCCAUGGCGAUGGCGGCAGCGGCCACGGAGGAGGGCGGCAUAUCAGCGGCGCCGGCGAUGGCGUCCGUGGCGGCCAUGCAAUGAGCCCUGAACCAUUUUUUAUUUGUAUUUAAAGGUGUUGCUUAUUUAUGCUCAACCUUAUUCGUGCUAGGGCGAUGAUGAUUACCUUGGCUGGAAUUAGUAUGCCUUUGAGCAAUCGAGGCACCAAUGGGUAUCAAGUUGGAUCCUCCCUCUUGUCUCUAGAAUCCUUUUUGAUCCUGUGAUACUUGUCGUUGUCCUUGGAUGGUCAUUCUUGUUGAGUGAUAACCAGGGCAGCUCUACUGUAUAAACAGAUCGAUCUGGUGAUAAGAGAUGAUGGGGGUAGGUUAUAUGAUCGAGGAAAGGAAAAUCUGAGCCCACUAUGUAAUAAAACUGCAGCUACCUCCCCUAAUAUGUGUAAUAUUGAAGGCAAAAAAGAACUUUUCAUUCUUGCUACUUUAAAAUUCCAAAAGGUUCAUUCUUCCUUUGCUGGUUACUUAACCAUGUUUUUUGUUUUGCUUUGGUUCUGGUUGAGAUACUAAAGGUUGUUUAUAUAUGAAAAGAACGGACACUUAUAGUUUUGUAUGCCUCAACUGUAGCUUAGGAUCCAGUGUUGUAGUGUCUUCGAUCAGUAUGUUCAUAUUGAGAUGUAGGGAUGCAUCAGGCACGUCAACUUUCUUGGAUUGGCGGUUGCGCAAUACUGAUACUAUGUAUAACUUCACAACAUUGCGAACUAAUGGCCAUGUUAUAGUGCUUUUAUGUUCACUCCUGAUCCUGUCACUAUCACAGGUGUGGUACACACAUAAAGUGGAAUCGAGCGUGACCCGCUGAAAUUGUCAUGAUGCUGCAUUCUUACAAAAAAAAACUAAUUAGAGUGUCCUGUUGCGCUAGAUGCUUGAUGUUUUCCUUUAAUCGGAAAGUCGUUCUAGGUAAUUGACCCUUCUCCUUAAAACAUACUUUGAAGAUUUUGAAUGACAUUUUAUUAGAGUAGUUUCCAAAUGCUACCUUACCUAUUUUCCUUUUUUGUUGUUUCUACUAGGUUUAAACUAAAAGGAGAAAUAGCUAUAAAAAUUGUCCUUUAUAUUCUUUGUCAGGCCUUGUGCUCGGUCAAAUCUGAGUUAUGGUAGUUGCUAUAAAUGUCUAGGUUUCAGCUUAAUAUUUGCAUUACAUGCCCGGAGAACUAAUGUUAUGCUUGUACUAAAUUGGAAAAUAGCUGGCUACAUUCGUGUGAUGUUUUAUGAAUUUAUUUUUUAAUAAUUCAUGUGUUGUUUCAUUCCUUGGAAUUUUCCCCUGAUUUAUUACUCCUGAAGAUGGUUCCAUUUGAAUGCGUGAAAUUACAAGAGCUCAAGAUUGUAGUUUUAGUCAUAGGUCAACCAGGGCACUAUUUCUAAUGAAGGUCAUGUUUCUAUAUGGUUUUUACUGUUUGGUGGUACAUUUAGAUAGUUAGCAUCGUCCGUUGACUAUGUGUUUUGUACCCUGUUGUUCCAGGGUGAGAUUUCCUGUGAUUUUGUGGAAGUAGAUGAUUGAUAGAGACUCGGAGGAGGUAAUUGAUAGAUAUAGACGUCGUGGUUCCUAUUUCUUCAUGUACUAUUUUUCUUCCAGUUUUCUUUUAAUUACAAGCUACCUCUGCCAUUGUAGUCAUUUCUUAUUUCAUACCAGUCUCUGUUGACUACUAUGUAACCAUGCAUGGGUAGCUUAAAUGGCAUAAGUUCUUAUUCAGUUAGAAAAAGGCAACAAAAACAACCAGGGUAAUCUUGCUCUAGAAAUUGCAUGACAUGUGCUUAUUCUCAUUUGUACAUAUGUGCGAGUUGAGUUCAAGAAAUUCUUGCAAAUGCAUUUUUUGGAUAACAGUCGUCAGCACAUAACCAUUUACUGAUUUAUAUUAAACCCUAUGGAAGCCAAGAUAGGUUUAGGUUCAUGUCUAAUAUAUCUCAUUUCACGGAAUAUAAAUUUACUUGGAAGCUAUAUCCUCCCAUGGUCCAUUGUUUUAUGCAUUGUUCAUGUUAACUUGGCUAAAAAGUGUUCAGGGAAGCUUUGAGUUUUGGUUGUUUCAAAAUAAACACAUCAAAGAAGAUGUUAUAUACCUUUUGCCAUUUAGCGGUGCUUAGGGAGUGAACAAGAUCCACUCUAAAAAGCUCCGGCAUCUGUCAACAAAGUUACCAGUGCAAAGCAGAUGGAAAAGAAUAAGGCAUCGAAGAAUGUUGUGCAUGUGCCUCUGCUUCCUCCUGCUACUAAUGAGGUCACGGAUCCAGUUGUUGAUCCUAAAACACAGGAUGUUGAUGGGGUUACUUUAAGGGGUGUUGAUGCAGAGGAGGGAGGCGAGGAUCCCAGUGCCAGAAAAAGGCAUAAGCUCUAGAGCAGCUGACGCCGAUUGAUCCACUCUUUUGGUCCAUGACGGUUGGCUAUGGACGUAUGACGAUACCUGGAUUUGCUGAUAUCCGUGGUGCUUCAUUACGUGCUCAACGAUGAAGCCCCUUCGUCGUACGGACCUGUCUACAUGAAGACCUGUCACUUAGUAUACAAUCUGCUGCUUUAUUUCCUUUAGGGGGUAUGUGCCGCAGGUACUUUUAAAUUUGAACAAAACCUACCUUAUUAUUACCUGUUUGCUUGAAUGUGUGUCGCCGACAAUGUAGUGGAGUAUGAGCAGACGCAAACUUCUGGUGCUUAUGGCUGUUGUUGGCAAAUGACUUAAAUAUGUCUAUGUGUGCCUGUUGUCCAUUUCUUUAA
This is a long non-coding RNA of Triticum aestivum (bread wheat), 4683 nucleotides long. RefSeq lists it as uncharacterized. Lineage: Eukaryota; Viridiplantae; Streptophyta; Magnoliopsida; Poales; Poaceae. The transcript is spliced from 8 exons. The record is from RefSeq and is a predicted model, not a curated record.